Molecule: ribosomal RNA, 253 nt
Filed under: uncultured bacterium
Lineage: Bacteria
Description: partial 16S ribosomal RNA
Rfam family: Bacterial small subunit ribosomal RNA
Source: RNAcentral
UACGGGGGGGGCAAGCGUUGUUCGGAAUUACUGGGCGUAAAGGGUUCGUAGGUGGCCCGCUAAGUCACACGUGAAAUCCCUCAGCUUAACUGGGGAACUGCGUGUGAGACUGGCAGGCUUGAGUGCAGGAGAGGAACGCGGAAUUCCAGGUGUAGCGGUGAAAUGCGUAGAUAUCAGGAGGAACACCGAUGGCGAAGGCAGGUCUCUGGGCCAUUACUGACACUGAGAAGCGAAAGCAUGGGGAGCGAACAGG